AAAUCUAUGGAAAACACUACAAACUCGGUGCUUUUGAAAAGAAAUGAGAUAAUGAGGUUUUUGAACCUCUCAAAUAAAUGAAAAACC
RNAcentral lists this non-coding RNA (87 nucleotides) under Paramoeba aestuarina. The record is from RNAcentral. Lineage: Eukaryota; Discosea; Flabellinia; Dactylopodida; Paramoebidae.